UGUUGCGGAACAGCAGUGGCUGGAGGGGACGGGGAGGGGGAGAUACGGUGCCAGCAUCUUCCGGCGAGGAGCGGAGACGCAGCUUCUCUACUCCGACGCCGAGGUGCGCACGAUGGUGCGGUGCUGCGUCGCAGCGCAUUGUUCGAGCCAGAACAGCAGUAGCCGGAGGAAGGGAGAGGGGAAGACCCGGUGCCGCACAAGGCGGUGGCAUCCGCCGGUGAGGUCAGGAGACCUCCGACGCCGAGAUUCAGGGAUACUAGAUUUGGUCAGGGAUACUGGAUGCACUCUAGUUUCUCUGCGAGAAACAAAAUUGGAUUUGGAGGUAGUGGAAGAAACCCUGGGGUCAGAUUUUGUGAGGAAUUUUGCUCUCUUGCCAGCACAGGGUACUCAAGGAGGGAGCUUUACUGCUGUUCAUGAAAAUUUCUGCUGAUUAUCUAGUUCAGAACCAACCUGUCAGUAUCAGUGCAAGGAUUGCAGCAGCAAUCACACUUUCAGACUGGUGGGUCACUGUAGUGUAUGUGUCACAAGAAGGAGCUAAAAAGCUUGCUUUCUUAGAUGAGAUUAAGCAGAUCUGUAUGAUAGCUUCUGAAAAAAAUGGCAUGCGUCAGUGGGGAUUUUAGGCGCAAGUUAAAAGUAACACAAGUUUGAACCUGCAACUGAUGAGGGGUGCUCAGAAAUGCAAUAGAUGGCUGAGUUUUCUGUUGAGAGGCAGAAAAUUUGCCUGUUCCAAGCCAUUUCCACUAGUGUCUGAUCAUUCACCUCUGCGUUUUGGUAGGAGGUACGGCAUCCAGAAAUUGCAUAGGAUUCAGGUUUGAGCCAUUUUGGCAUAAACUACCUGGGUUCUACGGUUGCAGAGGCUUGGUACAAACAUUUGAUACUACAUAAUCUGUUCCUGUGGCUACAUACCAAGUUUCAGGGAGUUGGAAAAGGGCUCCGGAGUUGAGCCAAAACAAAGAUUAGCCAUAACAAGUUGCUGCUUAUCGUUGCAAAGCCAAUCAUAUGGAUUCUAGGUGUUGUCCUAAGGGGAGAUUUCCCUUGGAAAUAUGUACCUGACAAUAACAGCAAUUGUAAAGCUGAGAGCAAGAUAACACUCUACAGUCUAGAGUUACCUUACUUAAGGCCGGGGAUGUUCAUUCCAAGCUCUUCUUCCUAGCUGUUAGUAGAAGGGGAAAAAAUACUAUUCAGAGCUUAGGGGGAAAAACACUAUUCAGAGUUUAGAUUUGGUUGCAGGCAUGGUCCGUCUGCAUGAGGACAAGGAGAAGGUUCUGCUUGAUCACUUUGGUGACUUACUGUGCACUUCAGUGCCAUGUGAAUUGACUCUGAAUUAGAGAAUCAACAUUCCGAGGCUAAAUAUCUACACUUUAGAAGAGGAAUUUCAGAAGACGUCAAGGAUAUCAUGAUGGGGAUGCAGUUGGAAAAGGCCCAAAGCCAGGAUGGAUUCAUACGAAGAUUCUUCAAGGUUUCUUUGAUCAGCAUAUGCAACAUUUCAAUCUAUUAAAAUCUGCACACAUUGCGCCGCUGCCAAAGACUCCAGAAGCUCAAAAAUGUUUUUCGGCCUAGUAGCCUCCCAUACCUGUCCAAGAUUAUCACCAUGUUGAUGGCAAAUAGGCUUUCAGCUUCCAGGACAUCUGAAUGAACUUUUGUCAACCAAGUACAGUGCCUUCAUCGAAAAAGGAGCAUCAAUGGCAUUUUUUUCUACACCCAAAAGCCAAAACCUAAUUUGUGAGUUGCAUUGCACAAAGCAGCAUAUGCUUCUUUUGAAAUUGGAUGUUUGCAAAGGAAUUUCGAUUAAGUCAAAUGGUCACAUCUGAUGGAGGUUUGGGAGGCAAUGGAUUUUGGACCCAAAUGGAGAAGUUGGAUGAACACUUUACUUUAUAUGGCAAGCUCAAUAGUUUUUCUGAAUGGAGUACAAGGGCGUGGUUUCAAGCAUCAAACUGAGCUUUGCGAAGGGGAUCCUCAAUCCCCACUUCUCUUCUUCUCAGCACUGAAACCUCUGCAGCAACUUCUGGGAGUUGCUGAGCAAGAAUGGAUACUGCAACCAGUUCAGAAUAUAGCAGCGAAACUAAGAGUGAGUCUUUAUGCAGAUGAUACGGCUGUCUCCAGGAUGCAGCCCAUCAAGUCCAUUUCAGUAUUCAACCUCACGAAAUAAUUUGGAGGUAAACGGGAAAUGGUACUUAUCCAACUAAAUCUGCUCACAGCAUCCAACUCCAAGGUACUCAUAGCACAUUUGAUGGUCUAUCGAAUUUGGAAAGCGUGUGAAGAGCGGAAACUAAAGUUCUACACCUGCGUGAUUGUUCAGAACAAGAAUCUUACCGCUGAAAAAUUAAUGUUGAGGAAUUAACCUUGUAAUGAUGUAUGUUCAUUAUUGUAACCAGGCCAGUGAAAACGCUUCACACCUAUGCUUGCUCCGCCCCUUUGCUAGAGAGGUCUGGACUAAGGGCAGUGCAUGGACAAACAGCAGCUCCUUCUCAGUUUACGCUGACAUAGAUGAAAGUGUAGAGCAAUGGUGGCAUAAACUCUUAGCUCCACUGUCUCUGAAGCGGCAUUCUUCUGUUGCAGCAAUCUUGUGAUGUACAUAGCUAGAGGAAUCAACGUGUUUUAGAAGACAGGACUGCAGGAGCUUAAACGGCAGGCAGCUUUUUGGGCUAAUUUGGAGGAGGUGGCCUUGAAAAAGAAUCCUGUGGAGUUCCAAAGACUGUUUAUAAGUUUCUAAAGCGUCUUUUGUUUGAGUUUGAGUAUUUCUGUUUCUUCUGUGACUGCGACAUUGUCAAAUUUCUAUGCUUCCUUCUUAAAUGAUA
Long non-coding RNA from Panicum virgatum (switchgrass), 2798 nucleotides. RefSeq lists it as uncharacterized. NCBI's taxonomy places the organism in Eukaryota, Viridiplantae, Streptophyta, Magnoliopsida, Poales, Poaceae. The record is from RefSeq and is a predicted model, not a curated record. The transcript has 2 exons.